AUGGGGCCCGGCACUGCAGCGGGGAAGACAAAGGCUGAGAAUGGGUGGCAGGUCCACCGUGUACAAAGGGGACAGGCGGGGACGAGAGAGCAGCAGGGCCUGACUUGGGCUGCGGGGUGUAGACGGAGGUCUGCGGAGCAAAGCAGAGAAGUGCUCGUCGCUUUUACAAACUGGGCGUCCAGGCGGGCGGGAGGGGCCGCGGGCGCCCAGGCCCGGGAGCUCGGGAGCUCGGGAGCUCGGGAGCUCGGGAGCUCGGGAGCUCGGGAGCUCGGGAGCUCGGGAGCUCGGGAGCUCGGGAGCUCGGGAGCUCGGGAGCUCGGGACUCGGGAGUCGGGAGGAGCUCGGGAGCUCGGAGCUCGGGAGCUCGGGGCAGCUCGGGAGCUCGGGAGCUCGGGAGCUCGGGAGCUCGGGCCCGCUCCGCCCCCGCGUCCUGCAGGCUGGGCCGGCCCCCGAGCCCCGCCGCCCGCCCCGCCCCGCCCCGCCCCGCCCCGCCCCGCCGCGCCGCGCCCCGCCCUCCGCGGGAGGCCGUCCUCCGUAGUCCGGGUCUCCCGGCGGCCGCGGGCCUGUGAGCACCGGACGGCCGACGCCUCCGCCCCGCGGGCCCUGCCUGCCGGCGUUGAAGGCCGCAGGCCGCUGGGCCUCGGUCCGGGGUCCGGCCGGCCCGAGGCUCCUGACGCGGCGGUCGGCGGCUGCCCGCUCCCGGUGCUCACGCUCGUCGGGCGCGGCGCGGGCAGGGCUGGGGCUCCGGCUCCGAGGGGGCGCGCGCAUCCCGCCCGGGGCCCCACCCCCCAAUUCCUAGCGGGCCCCGACCUGGCCAGGGCUGGGCAGAGCGGGGCGCCGGGGCCCGGGAGCCGCCGAGCGCGCAGCGCACCCGCCCCCCCCCCCGCCCGCGAGCGCGCCCCUCCCGCGGCGCCCGCUCUGAGGUCCGCCCGCUCUGAGGUCCGCGGCGCGGGGGCGCGCGGCCGGAAGCCCUGGUGGCCGCGUCGGCGCGGCGCCACGUCCUCGAGGGCCUCCAGGAUGGUCCGGCGCUGCUCGGGCCUGACGUCCACGCGGAGGGGAUGCGCCUGCAGGACGCGCCGCCGGACCGUGCUGCCCCCCGGCGUGGCCACCAGGUACUCGCCCGCCAGCGCGGCGGCUGCUGCCCGCGGCCGCUGGCGCCGCGGGGCGGGGGGAGGCCGGUGGCCCGGGCUCUGGGCCGUUCCGAGGCUGGGGACGGCGGGACACCGCCUAGGCGGGGACGAAAGACGGCGCUGGAGCCGGGAGAGGUCGGCCGCCGCGCCUCGGCUCCACAGCCGCCCACCCCGGCGCUCCCGGCGCUCCCGGCGCUCCCGGCGCGCCCUCCCAAGCCCCGCGUCACCCCCCGCUCUCGGCCCCGCUUCUCCCGAGCUCUCCUGGCCCCGGCCCCGGCCCACUCGGCCCGGCCUGUUUGUUCUUAAAGAUUUGCUUUAUUUGGGGGGAGGGGGAGAGCGCGGAGCCUGA
RNAcentral lists this long non-coding RNA (1479 nucleotides) under Canis lupus familiaris (dog). RNAcentral describes it as "lncRNA (ENSCAFG00000056556.1)". Lineage: Eukaryota; Metazoa; Chordata; Mammalia; Carnivora; Canidae. The record is from RNAcentral.